RNAcentral lists this ribosomal RNA (253 nucleotides) under uncultured bacterium. RNAcentral describes it as "partial 16S ribosomal RNA". It matches the Rfam family "Bacterial small subunit ribosomal RNA", at positions 524 to 776 of the family's 1533-position model. The record is from RNAcentral.
UACGGGGGGGGCGAGCGUUGUUCGGAAUUACUGGGCGUAAAGGGUGCGUAGGCGGCUUUGCAAGGCAGAUGUGAAAUCCCAGGGCUCAACCUUGGAACUGCAUUUGUGACUGCAUCGCUGGAGUGCGGCAGAGGGGGAUGGAAUUCCGCGUGUAGCAGUGAAAUGCGUAGAUAUGCGGAGGAACACCGAUGGCGAAGGCAAUCCCCUGGGCCUGCACUGACGCUCAUGCACGAAAGCGUGGGGAGCAAACAGG